RNAcentral lists this ribosomal RNA (229 nucleotides) under uncultured bacterium. RNAcentral's name for it is "partial 16S ribosomal RNA". It matches the Rfam family "Bacterial small subunit ribosomal RNA", at positions 568 to 796 of the family's 1533-position model. The record is from RNAcentral.
UCCGUAGGCGGGCGUCUAAGUCAGUGGUGAAAUCUUACAGCUCAACUGUAAAAUUGCCAUUGAUACUGGAUGUCUUGAAUUAGUGUGAAGUGGUUAGAAUGUGUAGUGUAGCGGUGAAAUGCAUAGAUAUUACACAGAAUACCAAUUGCGAAGGCAGAUCACUAACACUAUAUUGACGCUGAGGUACGAAAGCGUGGGGAGCGAACAGGAUUAGAUACCCUGGUAGUCC